Alligator mississippiensis (American alligator) is the source of this 1966-nucleotide long non-coding RNA. RefSeq lists it as uncharacterized. The record is from RefSeq and is a predicted model, not a curated record. The transcript is spliced from 5 exons. NCBI's taxonomy places the organism in Eukaryota, Metazoa, Chordata, Crocodylia, Alligatoridae.
UUGAAAUUAGCGUGGAAGGCAAGAUUCAAAGUAGAAGAAAUUUUUGCUAAGUGCAUUAUAAAAACACCAACAAGGAAAUAUAUAAUAAUUGUAAUUGUAAUGCUGGAGGACCAUUAACAAACUGUGCCAUGGUUUGCUUUCUAUAAUGAUGUGCUGCUUAUCGGUGUGCUGGAGUGGGAGUAUAACAUAGCACCUGUGAGACUCAGUCCUGGAACGCGAGCCCAUUGUGGCAGAAGGCAUACAAACAGAAUAGAAAAUGUCCCUGCCCAUGAACUUCUAAUGAGAGGCUACCAUAUUAUUUCAACGUUGAUGCACAAUAUUAUGGUCCUGAUUCUGAAAGAUUCUGCGCACUUUCUGAGAUGGGUUCCAUGCCUUCAGCUCCCAUUGGCUGUGAUGAGAAUCAAAGGUGGUCAGCCUGGUGCACAUUAGUCACAAGUGACAUGGACAGCUGCUGUGCAUGACAUGCAAGCCCUGGACGUGCAUUGAAGAGAGAUGCCAGGAUGAAGGCAGGGAUGCUUCAGCCUCGUCACAGGGAGUGGAGUGAGAGCAGAUGUUGCUGUGAAAGGAGGUGUCCAGAGUCACCACGAAGAGGCAGGAAAAUCCUCCCCUCUCCCUGCAGCUGCUGCCAAAUUCAGGGCUUUGGAUCUUUGCUUUUCAAAUAAAAGUGUUGUGGCUGUGAAUCUAAGGAAGGGUUAACUUGGCUCUUGUCAAUUACAUCUCUCCUGCAGCCAUGUCUUCUCUCGUCUGUGUGGCAGACGGCUCGAGCCCCUGUAUCUCCUUUCCAGUGCCUCAUGAUGCAAACUGUCAGGUAUACCUCUGGGAGGUGGGGAUCAGAGCAGCACCCUGAGAGGAUUGAGGCUGAACUUGUAGAAUGCCUAUUAAAAACAUUAACCACCACUCUUCUAUUCAUUUUUCUCCUCUAUAAUGUUAAUUUCUUCUGGACAGUAAAUAAGUCAAUUUAUGGCAAAAAGUUAAGGCAACACAUGAAGGGUGAUGAGAGAUGCAUAGGGUCUUCUUGUGAGACAUGAUAUUUAAAAUAGGAGCUGUUGCCUUGCACUAAUACCCUGGUUUGUUUGCACUUUUAAAAUCCUACUGCCAACAGGGCCUACUGGGAUUUGAUUUAAUCUUUGCAGAAAAUGUGGGGAUGUAUUUACUAUAAAAAUGUAAUAAAUAAAAAACAGAAAAUGAGGUUGUCUACUGUACUAGUUUUAUCUUCAUACUGUUUUCUUUAAGGAGCUAGAAGGGUAUAGUAUAAUGAAUAGUAUAGAAUAUGGGGGAACAAACAUCUAAUAAGUCAAUUAUCCUGACCUUAGUCCAAACAGAAAUGUAAGAAUAGUGAAAACUCUCUUGUUUUUUAUAUGCAUUUGCAACAGAUUUUAUGUAGACUGUAGUUAUGACUGAGAAAAAAUGCCCCCAAAGAUUACAUGAAAAUUGGAAACUAUGUCCUUGGAUAUACGUAUAUAUAAAAUGAGGUGCAGCAUUUUAAGGAUCUGUCUAGGAGCUGUACUUUAAAAUGUUAUGUUUAUUCUUUCUAUUUGUUUGUAGUUGUCCAGAAAGAUAAUAUGCUUUUGAAAUAGAUGUCAGAUGAUGUCAUCUGACAUCAACUUCACUGGGCUAACCACAUCAUCCAGAUAUCUGACUCCAAACUUCCAAAGCAAGUUUUAUUCUCCCAGCUCAGUCGCAACAUACGCUUAAGAGGAGGGUAGAGAAAGUGUUUCAAGGAUGUCCUCAAGGCCAACUUGAAAAAAAAGUAAUAUCAACAUCAACUAAUGGAGACUAUCACCCAGGACCCCUGCAAAUGGAGGAAGAGUUUGCUGCAAAGGUCUCAGCACUUUGAAAUGUUAUGAUGACAGCAAGAGAUGGAAAAAUAGGAGCAGCAGAAGCAGCAUGUCUCAGAUUAAAUGAAGAAUCCAGAACCACCUACCCUACACAGAAACACAUGUCUGAGUUGCAGCAGAGUCUGUUG